CUCUAUUCUGUGUCUCUGGGGAAACUACUUUAAUCCUCUUCCUUUGUUCAAAUAUACUACAGACAGACCUUAAUUCCAAGCGCAGACCAGGGAGAAAAGCUAAUCCUCGCCCGACCCAUCUUGGAACGUGGGCUAUGAGGUCGUCAUGCCCAAGAAAGAUGCCCACUACUGCCAUCUGGACGAAAGAUCCUCGUGAUCUCCAGAGGUUAUAAGAGGCUGCAAAUUGGCAGGCUCGCCCUCAGAAUUUGCUGGACGCUUGUCCAGAACGUCCUGGCCUGUUCUUCCCCCUUGCUCUCUUGAACUGCCCCAUAUUAAGCAUGUUGCUACUGUAGGCCUAGUAUAUUUCUGCGGCGAGUUAAUUCACUCGGUCGCCCCAUUCCCUUUCGCUUGCCCCCUGAAGUACAAGGAAGAAGUCUCCUCACGACGAUCAGGAGUUGGUCAGCUGUGGUUUCUAUGCAUCAGCCUGUGUGCAAUGCUGGCUCCCCAACUACACCCUCUCUUUACAGUGCCCUUGGAAGCGGGCUUCUACUGGGUUCCCUUCAAAAAAACCCCACACAUUGCUUCUUUCACUAUGUAGUGAGGGGACUGUUGUAUUUUGCCCCAGUUACAUCAAGCAUUCUUGUAAUAUGGUUUUCUAUAGCAAAUACAAUUAGUUAAGUUAA
This is a long non-coding RNA of Macrobrachium nipponense, 662 nucleotides long. RefSeq lists it as uncharacterized. The record is from RefSeq and is a predicted model, not a curated record. The transcript is spliced from 2 exons. NCBI's taxonomy places the organism in Eukaryota, Metazoa, Arthropoda, Malacostraca, Decapoda, Palaemonidae.